ACCAGAAUCUUCUUCCUUCUUAUUUCCGACAAAAUCGGACUCAAAGAGUCCGACUAGGAUAGGAAACCUCCACUACAAAGAUCUCCCGUCCUCUCUUAGGAAUUUACAACAAAAAUUUCGAAGAAAAUCGAGGGAUUUGAAAAAUUUUCUCAAAGAUUACCGUGGGUGGUUGAUCGGAAGAAAAGGAGGUCGUCAGCGCUUUCUUUGGACGGCAGAGCAAGAUAUUCCUUUUCUCCUUUUUAUUCUCCGAUCACCGG
Molecule: long non-coding RNA, 257 nt
Filed under: Elaeis guineensis (African oil palm)
Lineage: Eukaryota; Viridiplantae; Streptophyta; Magnoliopsida; Arecales; Arecaceae
Description: long non-coding RNA (EGUI_LNC042797)
Source: RNAcentral